CACGUAGGGGCCAAGCGUUGUCCGGAUUCAUUGGGCGUAAAGAGCUCGUAGGCGGUUCAGUUAGUCGGGUGUGAAAUCUCCGGGCUCAACCCGGAGGGGCCACCCGAUACUGCUGUGACUCGAGUCCGGUAGGGGAGUGGGGAAUUCCUGGUGUAGCGGUGAAAUGCGCAGAUAUCAGGAGGAACACCCGUGGCGAAGGCGGCUCUCUGGGACGGUACUGACGCUGAGACGCGAAAGCGUGGGGAGCGAACAGG
This 254-nucleotide ribosomal RNA is filed under the name uncultured bacterium. RNAcentral describes it as "partial 16S ribosomal RNA". It matches the Rfam family "Bacterial small subunit ribosomal RNA", at positions 524 to 776 of the family's 1533-position model. The record is from RNAcentral.